UACGUAGGGGGCAAGCGUUGUCCGGAAUUAUUGGGCGUAAAGCGCGCGCAGGCGGCUUUGUAAGUUUGUCGUUUAAGUUCGGGGCUCAACCCCGUAUCGCGAUGGAAACUGCAAGGCUUGAGUACAGAAGAGGAAAGUGGAAUUCCACGUGUAGCGGUGAAAUGCGUAGAGAUCGGGAGGAACACCUGUGGCGAAGGCGGCCACCUGGGCCGACCCUGACGCUGAGGCGCGAAGGCGUGGGGAGCGAACGGG
This 252-nucleotide ribosomal RNA is filed under the name uncultured bacterium. Its description in RNAcentral is "partial 16S ribosomal RNA". It matches the Rfam family "Bacterial small subunit ribosomal RNA", at positions 524 to 776 of the family's 1533-position model. The record is from RNAcentral.